GUUUCUAUAGUUGAGUAGAACAACGGUGGUUUUUCAAGCCACAGGGCUUGGAUAGAGGCCAAGUAGAAAUU
RNAcentral lists this transfer RNA (71 nucleotides) under Lophornis magnificus (frilled coquette). Its description in RNAcentral is "tRNA-Glu". It matches the Rfam family "tRNA". From Rfam's summary of the family: Transfer RNA (tRNA) molecules are approximately 80 nucleotides in length. Their secondary structure includes four short double-helical elements and three loops (D, anti-codon, and T loops). Further hydrogen bonds mediate the characteristic L-shaped molecular structure. tRNAs have two regions of fundamental functional importance: the anti-codon, which is responsible for specific mRNA codon recognition, and the 3' end, to which the tRNAs corresponding amino acid is attached (by aminoacyl-tRNA synthetases). tRNAs cope with the degeneracy of the genetic code in two manners: having more than one tRNA (with a specific anti-codon) for a particular amino acid; and 'wobble' base-pairing, i.e. permitting non-standard base-pairing at the 3rd anti-codon position. The record is from RNAcentral. Lineage: Eukaryota; Metazoa; Chordata; Aves; Apodiformes; Trochilidae.